GAACAUAGAGGCUGUCCUGGUAGCCGAUGACGUUACAACGAUAAACGACCGAAUGGUCACCGCCAACACGAAGGGCGACCGCUUGAUGCUUGGUCGGACCUGCCCAGUUCUCAAUCGUCAUAUCCCUCAUUAUGAAUCCUGCCCCUGUCGACGCGAAGGUGGCGGUAUGAUAAGUAGUGUAGUUAUCAAACACACUCCGGCCACCUGCGACGAUGGUCUUAUCCUUGCCGUCACCGACGAACAUGAGGUUAGUCUUCUUCCUCCCAACCUUCACAUUCUCAUCAUACCUCCCGGCCUUCACAUAAAUCACAA
RNAcentral lists this unclassified non-coding RNA (312 nucleotides) under Hevea brasiliensis (rubber tree). Lineage: Eukaryota; Viridiplantae; Streptophyta; Magnoliopsida; Malpighiales; Euphorbiaceae. The record is from RNAcentral.